Molecule: long non-coding RNA, 751 nt
Organism: Epinephelus fuscoguttatus (brown-marbled grouper)
Lineage: Eukaryota; Metazoa; Chordata; Actinopteri; Perciformes; Serranidae
Exons: 2
Source: RefSeq, a predicted model, not a curated record
CUUGUGCACCGUGUCAUCAUUGUGAACUCUUGUGAGAGACAGAGGAGCGUUGCACUCAGACUCGUCGGCUUCACCAUCAACAGAUCUGAACGUUCAGAGCCAUCUUUCAUGUUGUGAGAUCAGGCCCCCCACUUAGUGUAUUUGACAAGCUGAGUUGGACACUCUGUAUCUCUGAGUGUCAGUUUGUCAAAUACCCCAAGUGAGGUGUCACUUGUCUACAAAAGUAACCCAUCCUGGGUGCCUCUACAGACUGACCAGUCAGCUCUACAGGGUGGCCUACCACACCAACGAAACUGGCAACACCACGGCAACGGGCUCAAAACCCUUUUCUUGUUAAACUUUUGAGGAUAUAGAAAAGGAACGAAGUUUACAGUGGUUAAAGUGCUUUUUAUUUUUAAAAAAGUGUUUUGACACAAAAUGCAUCCAGAAAGUUACAGAGAUAAAAAAUAAGGUUGUGAAAAAUACUGUAUUUAUGUUUUUGUUAUAUUAUGUGUAUUCACACACAUCCAUGUACUGGAAAAAAAUAUUGAUUUCUACAUGACUGCAGUGAACAGCUUUUCAUAAGCCUGCAUAUCUGUAAACCCAUUUCUCCCAUGGAGCAUUUUGCUAAAUUGUUUUGUUCAGCCGUGAUGGAAGUGUCCUCUUCCUGCCAACAUUUGGGAGCAUAUGUUUUUUAGUUUCACUUGUGAAUAUCGGACUUUGACUUGCAGAGGGGGAGAGAGUAGCCCAAUAAAAUACACAGUGCCUCAUG